CUCGCCAGAUGACUAGCUACCUGAAAUCAAUUAUAAAUUGAUAACAUAAGGGAAAAUAAUGAUAUUACCUUAUUAUUAGUGUCGCCCAAAUCUGGUGCCAGAAGACUCGGUAAGGCCAGAGACACAAACGUUAAUCGUCUUAAUCAGGCGUAAAGGGUUUGUAGGCGGCUUAAAAUUUUACUAAAAAUAAGUAAAGAAUAAAAGCUAGAAUCAAAUAGAGGAUAGAACAAAUAAUGCUUAGAGUAGAUCUGAUAUUCUUAGAUACUAAGUAGAAUAUUAAAGGCGAAAGCUUUUUUCCAUUAAUGAUUGACGCUCAGAAACGAAGGUGAGGAUAGGAAAUAGGAUUAGAUACCCAGAAUACCCCUCUCUGUCAACGAUGAAUGGUAUUUAUUAGUAAAUUAAUUUUAUUAAUAGUAAUGUUAACACGAUAACCAUUCCGCCUUGUGAGUACAACUGCAAAGUUGAAAACCCAAAAAAUUAGUCGGUUUCGGAGCNNNCGAAGUGAAGCAUGU
RNAcentral lists this ribosomal RNA (512 nucleotides) under Russula ballouii. RNAcentral describes it as "SSU rRNA". It matches the Rfam family "Bacterial small subunit ribosomal RNA", at positions 400 to 942 of the family's 1533-position model. Lineage: Eukaryota; Fungi; Basidiomycota; Agaricomycetes; Russulales; Russulaceae. The record is from RNAcentral.